GAGAAAGCUCCGGACAUGCGCCACAUGAAAACGGCCCCAGGGUGAGCUUUCAUUAGGAAUACGAAUAAAUUCCAACAAUAAUUUUCAAAUUUUCGACUGACAUUAAUGUUGCCAAAUUUUCACAAAGAUUAAAUGCAAAUUAAAAAAAUUAUACCCUUCGCAGUGGCUCAUAUUGGCCUUCCAGGCCAUUUCAUCAUUUUCGAAGAGGAUUCCCCACAAAAUUUAACAAAAAAUCGAAAAAAUAAUUUGCAUCCAGAUUUUGAUGCAGAUUUACGCAGAAUCGAUCGACAAAUCAUCAAAAGUAUACCGCUUAAGAAUCGGAUGAGUAUUGGCGAAGAUAUAGCCAUCGCAGUGCCUCAUAUUGGCCUUCCAGGCCAUUUCAUCAUUUUCGAAGAGGAUUCCCCACAAAAUUUAACAAAAAAUCGAAAAAAUAAUUUGCAUCCAGAUUUUGAUGCAGAUUUACGCAGAAUCGAUCGACAAAUCAUCAAAAGUAUACCGCUUAAGAAUCGGAUGAGUAUUGGCGAAGAUAUAGCCUUCGCAGUGCCUCAUAUUGGCCUUCCAGGCCAUUUCAUCAUUUUCGAAGAGGAUCCCCCACAAAUUUUGAUGCAGAUUGAUGCGGAAUCGACCCAGAAAUCGUUUAAGGUAUUCCGCUCAAGAAUCGGAUGAAUAUUGGCCGAGAUAUGGCCAUCGCUCGGUGGCAUUUUCUAGAUCCCCUAGAAAAGUCGGAUGAAUCAAUAGCCAAAGGUAUUGUCCGUCCGUAGACUUUCAGGAUAUUUGAAGCUAAUCCCCCAGAAUCUGAUGAGAAUUAACCAAGAUGUGACAUCCGAAGAUAACUUUUAUUUUGCUAGAGAUAUAGCCUUCCAUGGGAGAAGGAUUAUAAAUCUUGAUAAUUAAAAUAAAAACCAUUUGGAUAUAUUUUUUUGUGUUUUUUUUUUAAUUUUGAGAUUAUAUAUAUAUAAUAAUUAGAUUUACAUUCAUUUCUGUAUCAUUUUACUUGUUUUAUUUUAGAAAUAAAGUAAGCAUUUAUUACUAAUUCUUUUAAUGUUUUCUGUUUUAGAUUUGCAGUUUAGUGCACUUUUCCAUUUUGCUUCGAUGAACAUUAUUAAAUAUAAGGGCGGGGGCGUACAUUCAUUUGUAUAACACAAAAACAAACAAUAUUUUAAAUAUAUAUUCUUAAUGAGACUUUUGUGUGGAGGGUGUGGGUGUGGGUGUGGAAGAUUAGGGGGGGAUACAAUUACACGCAACAACACAAAAUAAGGCGGAAUUAGUGUUCCAUCGUAUUGCAGAGUGUGGCAGGUUGGAGAGUUGAAAAAGAUCUAUAUACUGGCGAUAUAGAGUGUAUUGCAACAUGACCACUUUUGAUAUUGAAGCUUCGAAGAACGUAGGGGGGAAAUGCACACGGUACAACAAGCGGAGAUGGGUCGUCCAUUGGGACAUCCAUUUAAAUGUGCUACGAUUUUUGAGUUCAAUUUUGGUUUAAUUUUCCUCAUUUGUUUUUAUCAUAUUAUCUCUUUGCUUUCUCGUAUAAAAGUUCAGUAAAAAAUGCAGCUUAACUAGGCUCUCGUUUCUAAUUCCCUCCAAUUUUAAUUAUUAUUUUCUUUUUUUUUUGUUUUGUUAUUAAGGUAGCUCCCCUUAUAAACGGCGCUCCUCUCCAUUGGAUAUCCUCGCAAGCAUGCUCUGUUCCUGGUUGCUUUUCGGAUUUAUUUUACACAUAAUCAAUUAUUUAAUUUUGUUUUUGUUUUUUUUUUUUAUGGUUUUUAUCACUUAGUUUUUACAAUGGCGUUUUAUGUGGGUUUUGUUUGCUUCGCUUCCUCCAUUAAAAUGAGCACAUACAGUGUGAUCGCUCGGCUCGCUCGCUCUCCACUAACAUUUAAUCAUCAUCAGAAACGCACAAAUAAAUUCUAUCUGAUAAUAUCAAGAACAAAAAC
Drosophila ananassae is the source of this 1928-nucleotide long non-coding RNA. RefSeq lists it as uncharacterized. The transcript has 2 exons. Lineage: Eukaryota; Metazoa; Arthropoda; Insecta; Diptera; Drosophilidae. The record is from RefSeq and is a predicted model, not a curated record.